Molecule: ribosomal RNA, 111 nt
Filed under: uncultured eukaryote
Lineage: Eukaryota
Description: partial small subunit ribosomal RNA
Rfam family: Eukaryotic small subunit ribosomal RNA
Source: RNAcentral
UCGCUCCUACCGAUUGAAUGAUCCGGCAAAAUCAGUGGACUCUGAUGCGAUUUGGGUUUCUGAAUCGUAUUGUGAGGAAAUUGAUUAAACCUUAUCAUUUAGAGGAAGGAG